Long non-coding RNA from Lagenorhynchus albirostris (white-beaked dolphin), 496 nucleotides. RefSeq lists it as uncharacterized. The record is from RefSeq and is a predicted model, not a curated record. The transcript is spliced from 3 exons. NCBI's taxonomy places the organism in Eukaryota, Metazoa, Chordata, Mammalia, Artiodactyla, Delphinidae.
GCAACGCGGGCGCCUGGGCGGUGUCCCCUCCUAAGGAGAUGUGAAGGGGCGCUGGCCCGGAGCCCUGCCUUCGUGCCCCUGCUGCUCCAGCGCGGGCCCCCGGGGCGCCAGUCCUGCUGCAGAGCUCACCACUGAUGUAUUACCACCAAACAGAGCGGGCCGUCUGGAGCCCUUGAAGGGACUCUUCAGAUCUUUUAUCCAAGCAUCUCUGUGGAGCAAAAAAUAAAAGGAUGUUCGUACAUCAGUACCAGCACAACAGAAAUGCCCUGAGCUCCACGUUGCUGAGAAGCCAGGGCACUAGAUCCUCAGUGAAGCCAGGCAGCUGUGACUCAGGGCCAGGAUGGCCUCUGCCUCGGAAAUGUGUGAUUCUUCUCUCCACGCACAGAUGUUUCACUUUCAAAGGAGACAACAAAGGAACAGAACUGAGCUGCUGAAGUUGGAGGAAACACAAUUUUAUAACCAACGCUUGACAGAGAAGGAAAUUGAGUCACAUGAG